UCGUUGGGCUUCGGCCCAUUCGAGAUAAUACCCUUGCCUUUUUGAGUACCUUUUCGUUUCCUCGGCAGGCUCGCCUGCCAACGGGGACCCUUCAAAACGCCUUGUAAUACCUGUAAUUGUCUGAUAUAACAAGCAAAAAUUA
This 142-nucleotide unclassified non-coding RNA is filed under the name uncultured Preussia. Its description in RNAcentral is "sequence contains ITS1". Lineage: Eukaryota; Fungi; Ascomycota; Dothideomycetes; Pleosporales; Sporormiaceae. The record is from RNAcentral.